AUACGGAGGGUGCAAGCGUUAUUCGGAAUCACUGGGCGUAAAGGACGCGUAGGCGGGUUGGCAAGUCAGAUGUGAAAUCCUACAGCUUAACUGUAGAACUGCAUUUGAAACUGCUAACCUAGAGUAUGGGAGGGGGAGAUGGAAUUAGUGGUGUAGGGGUAAAAUCCGUAGAUAUCACUAGGAAUACCGAAAGCGAAGGCGAUCUGCUAGAACUCUACUGACGCUAAGGCAUGAAAGCGUGGGGAGCAAACAGGAUUAGAUACCCUAGUAGUCCC
RNAcentral lists this ribosomal RNA (275 nucleotides) under uncultured bacterium. RNAcentral's name for it is "partial 16S ribosomal RNA". It matches the Rfam family "Bacterial small subunit ribosomal RNA", at positions 523 to 797 of the family's 1533-position model. The record is from RNAcentral.